RNAcentral lists this transfer RNA (74 nucleotides) under Emticicia aquatilis. RNAcentral's name for it is "tRNA-Cys". It matches the Rfam family "tRNA". Rfam says of the family: Transfer RNA (tRNA) molecules are approximately 80 nucleotides in length. Lineage: Bacteria; Pseudomonadati; Bacteroidota; Cytophagia; Cytophagales; Leadbetterellaceae. The record is from RNAcentral.
GCAUGGAUGCCUGAGUGGUGAAAGGGGCGGUCUGCAAAACCGUUAGUCGUGAGUUCGAUUCUCACUCUAUGCUC